AAAGGAAUAGACGGGAGCCCGCACAAGCAGUGGAGUAUGUGGUUUAAUUCGACGCAACGCGAAGAACCUUACCAGGUCUUGACAUCCCAGGAACCCGGCGUAAUGGCUGGGGUGCCCUUCGGGGAAUCUGGUGACAGGUGGUGCAUGGUUGUCGUCAGCUCGUGUCGUGAGAUGUUGGGUUAAGUCCCGCAACGAGCGCAACCCUUACGGUUAGUUGCUACGCAAGAGCACUCUAGCCGGACUGCCGUUGACAAAACGGAGGAAGGUGGGGAUGACGUCAAAUCAUCAUGCCCCUUAUGAUCUGGGCUACACACGUACUACAAUGGCGAAUACAAAGGGAAGCAAUGCCGCGAGGCGGAGCAAAACCCAUAAAAAUCGCCCCAGUUCAGAUUGCAGGCUGCAACCCGCCUGCAUGAAGUUGGAAUUGCUAGUAAUCGCGAAUCAGCAUGUCGCGGUGAAUACGUUCCCGGGCUUUGUACACACCGCCCGU
This 490-nucleotide ribosomal RNA is filed under the name uncultured bacterium. RNAcentral describes it as "bacterial SSU rRNA". It matches the Rfam family "Bacterial small subunit ribosomal RNA", at positions 903 to 1397 of the family's 1533-position model. The record is from RNAcentral.